GACGAACGCUGGCGGCGUGCUUAACACAUGCAAGUCGAACGGAAAGACCCUGCUUUUGUGGGGUGCUCGAGUGGCGAACGGGUGAGUAACACGUGAGUAACCUGCCCUUGACUUUGGGAUAACUUCAGGAAACUGGGGCUAAUACCGGAUAGGAGCUCCUGCUGCAUGGUGGGGGUUGGAAAGUUUCGGCGGUUGGGGAUGGACUCGCGGCUUAUCAGCUUGUUGGUGGGGUAGUGGCUUACCAAGGCUUUGACGGGUAGCCGGCCUGAGAGGGUGACCGGCCACAUUGGGACUGAGAUACGGCCCAGACUCCUACGGGAGGCAGCAGUGGGGAAUAUUGCAUAAUGGGCGGAAGCCUGAUGCAGCAACGCCGCGUGCGGGAUGACGGCCUUCGGGUUGUAAACCGCUUUCGCCUGUGACGAAGCGUGAGUGACGGUAAUGGGUAAAGAAGCACCGGCUAACUACGUG
Molecule: ribosomal RNA, 468 nt
Filed under: uncultured bacterium
Lineage: Bacteria
Description: partial 16S ribosomal RNA
Rfam family: Bacterial small subunit ribosomal RNA
Source: RNAcentral